Gopherus evgoodei (Goodes thornscrub tortoise) is the source of this 902-nucleotide long non-coding RNA. RefSeq lists it as uncharacterized. The transcript has 3 exons. Lineage: Eukaryota; Metazoa; Chordata; Testudines; Testudinidae. The record is from RefSeq and is a predicted model, not a curated record.
CAGUCACCAUCCUUACCAUGAAAGAGAAGAGGUUGUGAUUCCCCACUCUGUGUGAUGGUGCUGAUGCUGCUUCUUUAAUAGAUAAUAGAGACGUGCACAGAUACUGAUGCUCAUGUUCACCUCAGAUGGCCAUCCGAACACGCUUAGUUCAGCCAGCAGAACCAACAGGAAGUCAAUGACAGUUUAAAAUCCUGAAAGUGGAAAAUGAAGCCAAGUUAGAAAUUGCAAAAAUAGAAUGAUGGCAUCAAACAGGAGAAAGAGGAUUAUAGUCAACCUAACCCAUAAAGAGGAAACUAACCUUCAGAUAUAUGUGGGAAAUAAUGAUCUAAUCCAUAUUGUAACAUGGGAUCGGGGAUUGUUUAACAAGAAAAGUUCAUGCAAAUGUCAUGCUGCUCCACUCUCAGAAGAUGAAUGUGAUAAGAAGCGUGUUUCAAGAAGAGUAUUUACAUCAGUCAUCCAGAAAUUUGUUUACUCUAGUCUGAAAUCUAUGCCAAGUUAUUGCAAACAUUUUUAGGAUUUGUGUUAUGCAAUUCCAGAAGGGCUGCUUAUGUUAUGGGCAUGUAUUCUGUUCUUUGAUCUGUGCUACAGAAAUUAAAGCAGUUCCACAGAUGCCAUAGGAAUAGAGAGGCAUACUGCAAGUUUCCAAAUAUUCUUAGAUUUCUGAGAGUGAUAUAAAUGAAAAUAGAGGCUCCUUUCAGUCUGUCAGUCAUUUACACUAAUUCUAGGACUGAAUUCUGUUUAGAUAUUAAAUUUUAAAAAAUGGCAUAUGGUUAAAAUUAGUGGAUGAGGGCUCCCGGGAGUUUAGUACUAAAAUUAGAGAAAUGUGUGAGUAUCAGGAGAGGGAAAAUAGAAAUAUUAUAGAAAAUUUUCCCUCUGUUGAUACUCACACCUUCUUGUCAACU